Molecule: non-coding RNA, 102 nt
Organism: Epithele typhae
Lineage: Eukaryota; Fungi; Basidiomycota; Agaricomycetes; Polyporales; Epitheliaceae
Source: the annotation of a RefSeq genome assembly
GGUCCGAUGGUGUAGUUGGUUAUCACGUCUGUCUCACAAGUGCGACCUCGGGUCGAGCCGCUUGGUCACAGGAGGUCUCCAGUUCGAGCCUGGAUCGGACCA